AAUAUUUGACAAUGGGGGCAACCCUGAUCCAGCCAGGCCGCGUGUGUGAAGAAGGUCUUCGGAUUGUAAAGCACUUUAAGUUGGGAGGAAGGGCUUUAGGCUAAUACCCUGAAGUUUUGACGUUACCAACAGACUAAGCACCGGCGAACUCUGUCCCAGCAGCCGCGGUAAUACAGAGGGUGCAUGCGGUAAUCGGAAUUACUGGGCGUAACGCGCGCGUAGGUGGUUCAGUAAGAUGGGUGUGAAAUCCCCGGGCUUAACCUGGGAACUGCUUUCAUAACUGCUGAGCUAGAGUACGGUAGAGGGUAGUGGAAUUUCCUGUGUAGCGGUGAAAUGCGUAGAUAUAGGAAGGAACACCAGUGGCGAAGGCGACUACCUGGACUGAUACUGACACUGAGGUGCGAAAGCGUGGGGGGCAAAC
This 421-nucleotide ribosomal RNA is filed under the name uncultured bacterium. RNAcentral's name for it is "partial 16S ribosomal RNA". It matches the Rfam family "Bacterial small subunit ribosomal RNA", at positions 360 to 773 of the family's 1533-position model. The record is from RNAcentral.